RNAcentral lists this non-coding RNA (225 nucleotides) under Azospirillum lipoferum. Lineage: Bacteria; Pseudomonadati; Pseudomonadota; Alphaproteobacteria; Rhodospirillales; Azospirillaceae. The record is from RNAcentral.
CUACGGUCCCUCCCCGACGGUUGCCCGCAAGGGCUGAAAAGGGAACACGGUCGGGAGUCCGGUCUGCGCCGCGAGGCGCCGCGACCGCUUUCAUGCCGAGGCUGCCCCCGCAACUGUGAGCGGCGAGUCGUCCGUCAUCACGCCACUGGGAUCGCGAAUCCUGGGAAGGCGACGGAACGACGAGAACCCGCGAGCCAGGAGACCUGCCGUCAGUCGUGGUCACAC